Molecule: transfer RNA, 85 nt
Filed under: Felis catus (domestic cat)
Lineage: Eukaryota; Metazoa; Chordata; Mammalia; Carnivora; Felidae
Rfam family: tRNA
About the family: Transfer RNA (tRNA) molecules are approximately 80 nucleotides in length.
Source: Rfam by way of RNAcentral
GCCUGGAUGGCUCAGUCAGGUAAGCAUCUGACUUCGGCUCAGGUCAUGAUCUUGCCACUCGUGGGUUCAAGCCCUGCAUCAGGCA